ACGAAUGUAGCAAGGGAACACCAUGGUUAGGGUUUGUUCAUCUUCCAAGCUUCAUGGUAAGUCCGUUCUAGCCCCGUUUUUCUUGUUCUUUAUAUUUUUAGAAUCCUGGUAACUUGCAUAAUCUAAUCCUACUAUUAAUUCGAGCUAGAAUUUAUGUUUGAAAAAUUACCCAUAGAUGAAAAGUGUGAAUUUUGAUGUUUCAUGACAUAAUAUGAAGCUUAGAGUUAUGUUAAACGAUUUUUGCUAAUCGAUUUUCAGCGAAAACGAGUAAAACGACAUAAUUGGUAAAAAUACCUAAUGCUCAUAAGUAAGUGUUAGAGUGGGAAUUUGAUGUUGGAUUAGAAGGGAAAAAUGUUCAGUAUGUCAUAAAACAUAAUAAUAAGAGAGGAAGUUUAAUUUCCGAGCUUUGGGGCUAAAGUGUAAAUAUGUAAAAGUUUAGGGGCAAAAUUGUAAUUUUUCCAAAGUUUGAGUUAAGGACUGCUUUGAUGAAUGUGCAUGUUAAAUAAGUCAAAUGUGUUAUUAUAGUUCAAGAAAGAAGUGGAAUCGACCUUAAUCGGAGAAAAGAAAAGAUUAAAGAUUAAAGACUAAAUUGCUAAAUUUUUAUAUUGUUGCACCAAAGUAAGUAUGCAUGUGAAUUAAUGUAUUAUUUUAAUGUUAUUCAAUAAAUUGUUGAGAUUUUAUUGAAUAUAGAAUAAAUAUUUGAUGUAGAAUAUAAAAAGUUGGUUAAGUUUGAGAAAGGUGGUAAAAUGUUGAAAAACAAGGUUUCCGACUGAACACUCGGAAUAGACCGGAAUACAUGGAAUAAAAAGGGGUUGCUAAGUGUUGAUUCCCCAAAUUAUUGAAUCUAAAGGUGGUUGCUAUGUGCUGAUUUCACCCUAUCUUUGAUUGUGAAAGGGGUUGCUAUGUGCUGAUUCCCCGUAUCAUUGAAUAUAAAGGUGGUUGCUAGGUGCUGAUUCCACCGUAUCCUUGAUUGUGAAAGGGGUUGCUAUGUGCUGAUUUCCCGUAUCACUGAAUUUAAGGUGGUUGCUAAGUGCUGAAUCCACCGAGUAACGGAUAAUAUUCUGAGUGUUCAACAGGGAAAUUGGAAAGGUAAAUGCAUAUGAAAUGGAUAAGAUUAUGUGAGGAAUAUUGGGUUUGAUAUUUAAUCGACCCAUGUGUAAGAAGGUAUGAAAUAUCAAAACUACAAAAAGUAAAUCUAGAAAUAAAAUAGUUUUAAACAACAACAGUUGAGCAACUUUGAAAAAUCACCAUAAUUGGUGGAAAAUGAAUUGGAGGCUAAAUAAUAUAUGAAAUUGAAUCUGAGUGAGUCUAUUUUCACAAGAAAGAAACAGAACAAGCAAAAGAGUUAUAUAUUUUGAAAUAUUUUAAUUUUAGUGAAACAGGGCUGAAUUGAUUUCGAAAUCCCCUGUUCCAACUUUGGAAGAUCACUAAAAAUUGUACAACAAUAAUUAUGGCUUGUAAUUUACAUUCUUGAAUUCCUCAUUCAGUCUGUUUUCAAGAGAAACAAACAAGAACAUCAUUUGAAUUCUGUACAAAGAGAUAAACAAUUUUUAGUAAAGAGGGGUCAGAGCUAUUGAGCAGUGAAACAGGGGAGAGUUUGAAGAAUAAACUGUACUAAUUGGCUAAACCAAAAAUUCUGAAAAUUUUAUGUUUAGAAUAUAUGUGAGUCUAGUUUUGGGUAAAAUUAAUGGAACUUAAUUUAGUGAUAUAAUUCAACUAGAUAGCUUUAAAUUUAAAUAUAAGUGGAUAGUGAAAUUAUGUAUAAUGCUAUUUAAGCCUGC
Molecule: long non-coding RNA, 1781 nt
Filed under: Gossypium barbadense (sea-island cotton)
Lineage: Eukaryota; Viridiplantae; Streptophyta; Magnoliopsida; Malvales; Malvaceae
Description: long non-coding RNA (GBAR_LNC019865)
Source: RNAcentral